This 655-nucleotide ribosomal RNA is filed under the name uncultured bacterium. Its description in RNAcentral is "bacterial SSU rRNA". It matches the Rfam family "Bacterial small subunit ribosomal RNA", at positions 651 to 1311 of the family's 1533-position model. The record is from RNAcentral.
UCAGAGGGGGGUGGAAUUCCACGUGUAGCAGUGAAAUGCGUAGAUAUGUGGAGGAACACCGAUGGCGAAGGCAGCCCCCUGGGAUAAUACUGACGCUCAUGCACGAAAGCGUGGGGAGCAAACAGGAUUAGAUACCCUGGUAGUCCACGCCCUAAACGAUGUCAACUAGCUGUCGUGGUCUUCGGACUUUGGUAGCGCAGCUAACGCGUGAAGUUGACCGCCUGGGGAGUACGGUCGCAAGAUUAAAACUCAAAGGAAUUGACGGGGACCCGCACAAGCGGUGGAUGAUGUGGAUUAAUUCGAUGCAACGCGAAAAACCUUACCUACCCUUGACAUGUCUGGAAUCCCGAAGAGAUUUAGGAGUGCUCGAAAGAGAACCGGAACACAGGUGCUGCAUGGCCGUCGUCAGCUCGUGUCGUGAGAUGUUGGGUUAAGUCCCGCAACGAGCGCAACCCUUGUCAUUAGUUGCUACGAAAGGGCACUCUAAUGAGACUGCCGGUGACAAACCGGAGGAAGGUGGGGAUGACGUCAGGUCCUCAUGGCCCUUAUGGGUAGGGCUUCACACGUCAUACAAUGGUCGGGACAGAGGGCAGCCAACCCGCGAGGGGGAGCCAAUCCCAGAAACCCGAUCGUAGUCCGGAUUGCAGUCUGCAAC